RNAcentral lists this ribosomal RNA (253 nucleotides) under uncultured bacterium. RNAcentral's name for it is "partial 16S ribosomal RNA". It matches the Rfam family "Bacterial small subunit ribosomal RNA", at positions 524 to 776 of the family's 1533-position model. The record is from RNAcentral.
UACGUAGGGUGCAAGCGUUAGUCGGAAUUACUGGGCGUAAAGCGUGCGCAGGCGGUUGUGCAAGACAGAUGUGAAAUCCCCGGGCUUAACCUGGGAACUGCAUUUGUGACUGCAUAGCUGGAGUGCGGCAGAGGGGGAUGGAAUUCCGCGUGUAGCAGUGAAAUGCGUAGAUAUGCGGAGGAACACCGAUGGCGAAGGCAGCCCCCUGGGCUGACACUGACGCUCAGGCACGAAAGCGUGGGGAGCAAACAGG